Molecule: ribosomal RNA, 393 nt
Filed under: uncultured bacterium
Lineage: Bacteria
Description: partial 16S ribosomal RNA
Rfam family: Bacterial small subunit ribosomal RNA
Source: RNAcentral
AUACGGAGGACGCGAGCGUUAUCCGGAUUCAUUGGGUUUAAAGGGUGCGCAGGCGGCCGUGCAAGUCAGCGGUGAAAGCCCGGGGCUCAACCCCGGAAGUGCCGUUGAUACUGCGUGGCUGGAAUGCGGUCGAGGCGGGCGGAACGGGGCGUGUAGCGGUGAAAUGCGUAGAUAUGCCACAGAACGCCGAUAGCGGAGGCAGCUCGCCAGGCCUGCAUUGACGCUCGGGCACGAAAGCGUGGGGAUCGAACAGGAUUAGAUACCCUGGUAGUCCACGCCGUAAACGAUGGGCGCUCGUCGUCGGCGACAGACAGUCGGCGGCCAAGCGAAAGCGAUAAGCGCCCCACCUGGGGAGUACGGUCGCAAGGCUGAAACUCAAAUGAAUUGACGGGG